CAACGUGGGUCUCUUUUAACAAAAGUGGUGGAGCUGAUUGACCCACUGACAAAUCAGUGGGAUGCCCAGUUGGUCGGCCAAACCUUCUGUGUGGAAGAUGUGAAAGAGAUCUUAAAAAUCCCUAUUAGAGAGCAGUUUGAGGAUUUUGUAGCUUGGCAUUUCGACAGCAAGAGCUUGUUCUCGGUCCGAUCUGCUUACAAAGUUCAUGUGAGUCUGGUUCAGAAUCAGAAGGUGAGGCAACGAGGGGAAGGAGCCACUGGCAGUGCAGAUCCGAGCAAUUUUUGGCGAGAUUUAUGGAAGAUGCGAUGUCCAGGUAGACUCCAUCACUUCAUGUGGCGGCUUGCCCAUAAUAGCCAUCCAGUACUGAGAAAUGUUGAGCGGAUUGGGAUUGAGUUAAAUACUGAC
This 405-nucleotide ribosomal RNA is filed under the name Triticum aestivum (bread wheat). RNAcentral describes it as "partial small subunit ribosomal RNA". The record is from RNAcentral. Lineage: Eukaryota; Viridiplantae; Streptophyta; Magnoliopsida; Poales; Poaceae.